UACAGAGGGUGCGAGCGUUGUCCGGAAUCACUGGGCGUAAAGGGCGCGUAGGCGGCUUUCCGCGCGUGCGGUGAAAGCCCGGGGCUCAACUCCGGGUCGGCCGUGCGGACGGGGGAGCUAGAGUCUGGUAGAGGCUGAUGGAAUUCCCGGUGUAGCGGUGAAAUGCGUAGAUAUCGGGAGGAAUACCUAUGGCGAAAGCAGGCUACUGGACCAUCACUGACGCUGAUCUGCGAAAGCUAGGGGAGCAAACAGG
Molecule: ribosomal RNA, 253 nt
Filed under: uncultured bacterium
Lineage: Bacteria
Description: partial 16S ribosomal RNA
Rfam family: Bacterial small subunit ribosomal RNA
Source: RNAcentral